RNAcentral lists this ribosomal RNA (484 nucleotides) under uncultured bacterium. Its description in RNAcentral is "partial 16S ribosomal RNA". It matches the Rfam family "Bacterial small subunit ribosomal RNA", at positions 30 to 507 of the family's 1533-position model. The record is from RNAcentral.
ACUGAACGCUGGCGGCAGGCCUAACACAUGCAAGUCGAGCGGAUGAAGGGAGCUUGCUCCUGGAUUCAGCGGCGGACGGGUGAGUAAUGCCUAGGAAUCUGCCUGGUAGUGGGGGAUAACGUCCGGAAACGGGCGCUAAUACCGCAUACGUCCUGAGGGAGAAAGUGGGGGAUCUUCGGACCUCACGCUAUCAGAUGAGCCUAGGUCGGAUUAGCUAGUUGGUGGGGUAAAGGCCUACCAAGGCGACGAUCCGUAACUGGUCUGAGAGGAUGAUCAGUCACACUGGAACUGAGACACGGUCCAGACUCCUACGGGAGGCAGCAGUGGGGAAUAUUGGACAAUGGGCGAAAGCCUGAUCCAGCCAUGCCGCGUGUGUGAAGAAGGUCUUCGGAUUGUAAAGCACUUUAAGUUGGGAGGAAGGGCAGUAAGUUAAUACCUUGCUGUUUUGACGUUACCAACAGAAUAAGCACCGGCUAACUUCAUG